CCUACGGGAGGCAGCAGUGAGGAAUAUUGGUCAAUGGGCGCGAGCCUGAACCAGCCAAGUAGCGUGAAGGAUGACUGCCCUACGGGUUGUAAACUUCUUUUAUAAAGGAAUAAAGUGAGGCACGUGUGCCUUUUUGUAUGUACUUUAUGAAUAAGGAUCGGCUAACUCCGUGCCAGCAGCCGCGGUAAUAUGGAGGAUCUGAGCGUUAUCCGGAUUUAUUGGGUUUAAAGGGAGCGUAGAUGGGUUGUUAAGUCAGUUGUGAAAGUUUGCGGCUCAACCGUAAAAUUGCAGUUGAUACUGGCAGCCUUGAGUGCAGUUGAGGUAGGCGGAAUUCGUGGUGUAGCGGUGAAAUGCUUAGAUAUCACGAAGAACUCCGAUUGCGAAGGCAGCUUACUGGACUGCCACUGACGUUGAUGCUCGAAAGUGUGGGUAUCAAACAGGAUUAGAUACCCUGGUAGUC
Molecule: ribosomal RNA, 460 nt
Filed under: uncultured bacterium
Lineage: Bacteria
Description: partial 16S ribosomal RNA
Rfam family: Bacterial small subunit ribosomal RNA
Source: RNAcentral